AAUGUCCACAGAAUGAAAAGCUGUUUUCCAUGUUCUGAGCAGAGGAAGAUGAGAAUAUCUUGAACUGUGCAGGGACUUGGAGUCCUUGGGCUUUGGUCUGGGGAAGCUGGCUGGGGUUUGGCUUCCCCAAUGUCCCAGCUGGCACAGCAUUGUAGUCACACACAGGGGAAUUAGUACCCAGCAAAGUAGUCCUUCACAUAAUGGAUAUAAAUAUGAUUCUUGGAAUUUACCAAACAAUAGGCAAGAGCAGUAUUCCCAACAGGCUGGAGGGGAGCAGUUAAGUAUGAAGGAAACACCUGCAGAAGUGGGUAUCCAUUGUUUCCUUUUGAUGUUUAUCACUGUGCCUAAAUCUGGAAAGAAUAGGCUUUUGGCCUUCAAAAACAAUUUCCUUCCUAGCCUUUAUUGCCUGGAGGAAUCUGUCCUUCUCGAGCAUUCCUGUUUUGGAGACAGGGAAAAUUAUCUCCCUGCCUGGGUGAAAUUUCAUCUCCGGCUCCUCUGAGGACCGAGCAGGUAACUUUUAUGGAUCAGGUCACUCAAAAUGAAGGGCUGUGGUGAGUGACACAGGUGAGGGGCCUCUGGUGGUGGCACAUGCUGGCUCUCCAGGACACUGGGGCAGCAGCAGCACCGGCAGGAAGGCGUGGAGGUGGAUGAAGAUUGGGACCAGGCUGAGGCUGCCACGUGAAGCUUUCCAGACCAGGGGCUUGACAGGCCCGGUCCCAUCCUCCAGCAUUUCUUUAGCACUCUGGCAGAUGAAAACCACCAGGAAACAAAGGGACAGGCCAACCCUCAUGCAUUUUUGAUCAGCAGAAGGGCCUGACCCCCGCGUGGUGCGAGGUCAUGGGCAGGCCCUCCCUCUGCCCUGUCACCUCUGGAGACAGAAAGCAUGUCUCCACAGCCAGCCACCACUGCAAGGCCCUAAAUGCUCACACAGCUGCUGGAGCCCAGCUCUGCCCGCUCUCCCUUCUGCCCAGUCCCACUGCUGCUCUGACUGCCUGAGAUUUGUCUUCUCUUUAUAGCACCUUUUAUUAUUCUUUUGACAGGCCCUGAAUAGUGACGAUGAGGAGGCCGGGGCAGCCGUCCAGUGCUCCCAGUGGUGCUGUUCAGCUGCACGGUUGUUUUUUCUCAAGCUGCCAGCUGGUCCUGACACUCUGCUUGUUUUCUCCCCCCUCAGGAGGCAUUCUUUUGGUGGAAGCUACCUUGCUGACAUUUAAAUGGAGCGGGGAGUGCUGCUGGGCUGCCCUCUCCUCCUCUUCCACAGGAGCUGUGCUGCCAGCUUUCUCUCUGAGUGCCCCACCACUCCUCUCCUGGUUCCUCUGCAUGCAACCCAGGUUCUUUUAGCUUCUCUCCCACUCCUUUAUCCAAAACCUUCCUUCUUUCCACUCUUCUGCUUAUCUUUUCUGCUUAUUUUUUUAUCAGGUUUUAAAAACUCUGGAAGGAAAGUCAUGACUCUCUUCCCCUUUAUGCUGAUAGAAACAGGAGCAGGGCUGUAAACAGGACAAGAUACCUCAUCAAGGCUCUGCACAGGCUCUGUAGCUCUCUCCCUUCUGCUCCUUCAGUCCCUGAUGGUUUAUUUAGGUUGCCCCAAAGCACAGGAGAUCACAACCACAUGCACAGUGCAUGGCUGACCAGACCUCAGCUCCCCUUGCCUAAACUGGAAAUCAGUCAUUGCAGCCAUCCCAUGGUCAUUUGUGCCCUGCACUGCAUUAUUAUCUCAGGCAUGGUGCUGUGUACAUUCUUUCUUGAUGUCUCACAGGCUUCAUAAAGUUUGGGCAGUGCAAGCCUGUGGCUGUUUGCAGUGUUCUCAGUGGAUAUGGCCAAAGUGAUGUCUUUUUCCAGACAAGGAUCACAAAAGUACACAGAUUUGGUAGCCACACACCUCCCACUGAGCACCACAGCACACACUUCCCCCCAAGGCUUCAAAAUUCCUCUCGUGCUGUUGUUUAACAUGGUGGAAACCUCAAAGUUGUUGAGAUAGCCAAGAGGGCACCAAUCUCACCCACAGAGCAAGAAGGGAUGUGGCUGGGAUGUGGCCAGAGGAUGGGACAUGUCAGGUGAGUGAUGGAGGCCUGUCCUGGUUUGGAAAGACAGGUGUCUGCUAAGGAAGGCAGGAGCCUCCCUUGAAAUGGAAAAUGUAAAACCCCUCCUUCCAAAUCAUUAUAGUUUUGAAAUUUAGAGGCUCUCAGGCAAAGAUAUGGCAGCAGGAAUAACAGUUCUUUAUUAGGGAAGAAAAUAAAAGUCAAAUAAACAAUGCAGUAAUACAAAACAACACUGCCAGAGUCAGAAUACAACCUGACACUUGUCAGCGAUGGAGAGAGACAGGGAAGACUGACUCGGUGAUCAGAAUCCAAUUUUAUUGUGGGAUACAAACACUUAUAAUAUAUUAUUUCAGGGAGGCUAGUAAUGUGUACUACAAUGAUUAGGUUAAAAUCACAUACACAAACUUAUGCAUAUAACAACAUCUCUUGCUUGCAGAUUUUAAUGGGAUUUUCUUUUUCUGGUAAACCUCUUUGAUUUAAACUUCUUGCAAUCUAAGUCUAACUUUCAAAGUUCCAUUUGCUUUUGCCAAGGCAUCCUGUUAUCAAAUCUCUUAUGUUAACCAGGUCCAAAGUCCAUCCUCUGCCUUGUGUCCUCCAACACUCCAACAGACACCCUGUUGGUCAGGGGGUUGGUAGCAGUUUAAUUGGAAUGGUGGCUGCCGUCCUCCUGGAGUGUCAGGUGUGGUUCUGUUGAAGCAGUGAUCCUGUAGAAAGGUGUAGUCAUCCUCUGAAGAUCCAGUGGUGGUGUAGAUGGGCCUGGUCUUCCUUUGGGAAUCUAGUGGAAAAGGCAGCUGCUCCUCUGGGAAUCCAGUGGAAAAGGCUGUCCUGGUGUCUAAAAUCUCAGAUGAUAUCCAGUUAGGAAUGCUUGGCUCCUCCCUCUGGGCAGAGCUUCUCACAAUGUGGGAUGAUGUGGUUUUAUCAGUCAUGCUGUGGCACUCAAUUAGCAGAGGAGAUCUUCUGAAGGGAGGAUUGGUCACGGAAAGAUAAAGAAAACUGCCCAAUUAACAGAAGAUAACAGAUGGUGGACACCCACAUCUUGCAACCCAGGACAAGGCCAUGUUCCUGCUGUGGCUUUUCCACCUGGCCUCCUCUGCUGAUACCCCACACCACCACUGUACAGUGGCUUUCACUGACCAGAAGUGGAUUUAUUGAUAAACUCAAACCAGGAGAAAGAAAUAAGAUCUUAAUCUCUUUCAAGAUCAUUAAUCUUGCAGUGAAUAUAUAUGGUAGUGAAUUAAUGUGACACACUGUAUAUUGGAUAUAUUUGGUGUUAUGUGUUGACAUAUUUUAUAUGUCGUGUCCUUUCUUUCUUUCUUUCUUUCUUUCUUUCUUUCUUUCUUUCUUUCUUUCUUUCUUUCUUUCUUUCUUUUUCUUUUUCUUUUUCUUUUUCUUUUUCUUUUUCUUUUUCUUUUUCUUUUUCUUUUUUCUUUUUUCUUUUUUCUUUUUCUUUUCUGUAUAUUCUGGCCCAAGUAGCACAGUGAUGAUGUCACCUUUGAUUGGCAGGGUUUAGCAGCCAUCACAAAGCACCAGCCAGAGCAGGUCAAAAUGAGCCUCACCCCCCCAGUUUAUUUACAGUGACAGCAUAAACCCAUAUGAGAGAGCAGAAGACUGUAAUCCCAUUCAGAUUGUAACAACCACCUGAAAACCUGCUGCUGUGGCAAAUCAGCCUAAGAAGUCUCCAAGGCUCCAUCUCCUCAGCAGGAUGUCCAGGAGGUGUUCAUGCAGCUGAGUUUGAGUUUGCACUGCACAGGAAACCAGGGAAACACACGAAACCACCACACCUGGAAGAACAGCAUCACCAGCACACCCCAACCACAGCUGAUUCCCACUGAGUUCGUCCCUGGAUUUAUCAUGAGACAAUCCAGCACCAAGGCCUUCAUCUAAGGACAGAGAUGGGAAAGCUGCAGAGAAGUGCCUGGCUCUGCAUUUAAUGCUGGCCACAGACCUCCUCCAGAUCAUUGAGCCAGAUCCAGAGAGCACGAGUGAGUUCUGAUUCCAGAAGAUGCACUGGAAGAAGUGCAGUGACUCGACUGAGGUCAACAUUUUACUGAGGAUACUACUAGUGAAGAAAGUAAGGGAUGUGCAGAUUACUAUAAAUUUUCUUGAUGUAGAGAGAGACUGGAACAUUGCUCAGGAUUCCAAACUUCUGGUGCAAGUUGUGUAAAAGCGACCCAACAAUUCUCAUUUAACCUCUUUCAUCUGAAGCUUGCCCCUAACCUGCCUUAUUCUCUUUCACCACUUCUCUACAAACACUUCAUCUCCUCUGCAGUGCUCCAGCAGAUAAAGUUACUCUCUUUCAUUCCUACCACUGCCCCAGAAAAACUCCCAAAUGGAUACAGCCAUGCUGACACUGAACAGCUUUUUUUGGUUUACCCCUCAUCCUUUGAAGGUGUGAUUUAACCAGACUAACAGGAUAACUCUUCCUCUUGCUGCCUGUGCUCAGAAGUGACAAUAGGACCUGUAGCCUCAAGGAAUUCUCAGUGAAUCAAAUCCCUGUGGUCAGAGUUGGGCUAGAGCUCCAAACAUCCAGCUGGGAAAAGGCACAGAGUGUCCAGUUAGCAGCAUUUCUAAAUUACACAUUUAACACCCAUCAGAAACAUUUGUUUGUCUUUAUGGUGAUGACUGGUGAAGUUCCUCUUUGUUUGUCACUGGCUCACCACUCUAGAACAUCUGAAGGUUCUAGGAGGACCAACUUACUUUUAUCCUUCACUACAACAGUACUUUGCAUUAAUUUUUGAGCAAUCUUUUCUUUAUUUUUUAAUGUUUGCUAACCCUUGUACCUUACUGCCCUUUUGCCCACUCUUUUGGAGCCAAAUAUAAGCCUUUUUAUGUACUUAGUUUUUCACAACCAGGGAAAAAAAGAUUAUUUUUUUCACAACAGACAUUAGUGAUUCUGUUAAAACUCUUUAUUAGUCUAGAUUAAUCCACCACUCAAGGUAGUUUAAGCAAGCCUCAGCUGGCCUCAUAAUGAUUACAAUGAAACAGCAGGCCCUGCAAACCUCAUAAGAGUUGCAAUUAAGGAUUCCUGAGAGAUACAAGCUGAUAUUCCUCAGUUGGCUUCUUGGGCAUUUCCCCAGAUUUACUGGGUUUUAUGAUCAUAUACGCAAGCUGUGAUUAUGCUUUUGAAAAAUAAAUGGAAGGAAUUAAAAUUCAAAACGUUGAAAAUCCUGGAAAUAAAUAGUAAAAAUGAUGAGUGCUCUGGCUUGACUUACAGCAAGCACCAAGGUUUUCCUUUUGCCACUUAAGCAGGGCACAGUUUAGAAAUCUGCACAUGAAUCUUCCACGUCCCUGUCUUUGGCUUUACAAUGAAAUGAUACUUGGCCAUAUUCCAGGUCUCGGGGAGCUCAGCAGUUUUGUGCAGGAUAUGUCAAGUUAAAGGAAAUUUGGUGGGGGCUGGAAGCUCCAUAGGAGAGGAGGCAACAGUUGUUUGAGCCUCUCUUGAAUUGUAAAGCACAGCGCAGCUGUACGCAACGCCGGGGUGGAGCAGCACAACUUUGUCCCAGCCAGCUGACUGAAUUUAUGGGGUGCUUUGUCAAAGGGAAUUGUUCACUGGGAGGAACUGCACCACGAAAAAGGCUGAGAGCCCUGGGGAAUCUGCAGUGGGCAGCAGGAGCUGUGUCCAGGGUCAGUUCUGCGCAGCUCCAGCUCUGCAGGGGGAGGCUCAGGUGCUGCUCAGGUGUGGCUGUAGCCCAUCCUGGGGCAGGCAGAUCCAUCCACCCCACUUCCACCCCACUCCAACCCUAUCCACACUCACUGCUGCUCAUUGUCUAGCCUCAGCAGCGUGCUGGCACACCCCAUAUUUUGGGUUACAUUCAUGGGAAAUGGGUCUGACCCCACAGUGAACGUCCUUUCCUCAUCAUUUCAAAACCCUUUAAGACCGUGGCAAGUGGUUUGCUGCUAGGUGAGAGCAGAGACAGAGUGAUUACAAGUCCCUCAAAAUGCUGAGGGAGGCUUCCAGAACAAGGUUUCCUCAGAAGAGCCAUCCUACCUGCUGUAUGAACAUGCCUAGAGGCAACCCAGCGCAGUUAUUUUGGGAUUUAGAACUGUUAGAAUUCAACAGUGAAACCACUUUUCUCUGUUUUAGUCACUUGUCAUGGUGACUUUUGUAGGUUAUGACAAAAUAGGAACAUAUAUUAAUGGAAACAAAGAACUUUCACUCUUUUCUCAAAUAUAGGGUUUUUUUCCUCCUCAGGCAGCAAUUUCUACCUGAUUACAAUAUUCACCAGUUUGUAAGUAUUUCAUUUAAUAAAAAAAACCUUUUUCAAAAGUUGUUUUAACCAAGCUUUAUUGCUCAAUGAAACUUAGUUUACAAGGUAUAUGACUGGGAGUCAUUCUUCAAAUCCCAAUUAAAAUACAUAUAUAGUUUGGUAUUUUUUAAUUAUCUGAAUGUAAAACAAAACUCAGCGUUUAUAAGUUUCAGAUGGAUUCUUGAGGGUUUAUAACUUUGAUCUAAAAAUUAAAUUGCCCUCCUACCAUUUUCUUAAGACAAAAACAGGGGGGAAAAAAAUCAAUGAAAACUGAGAAAAACGUUGUGAUUUUAAAACUGAUUACGGCAGGUAUGCAGUAAAUUUUGUCCACACGUUUUAUAAGGAUUUUUACUGGCAUGGAUCCUAGCCGUGGCACCACAUCAAAAUCUAUAAUCAGUCCAC
Passer domesticus (house sparrow) is the source of this 6685-nucleotide long non-coding RNA. RefSeq lists it as uncharacterized. The transcript has 3 exons. The record is from RefSeq and is a predicted model, not a curated record. Lineage: Eukaryota; Metazoa; Chordata; Aves; Passeriformes; Passeridae.